GUAAAUAUAGUUUAUAAAAACCCCAGACUGUGAAUCUGGAAAUAAGAGAUAAAACUCUUUAUUUACC
RNAcentral lists this transfer RNA (67 nucleotides) under Reithrodontomys mexicanus (Mexican harvest mouse). RNAcentral describes it as "tRNA-His". It matches the Rfam family "tRNA". From Rfam's summary of the family: Transfer RNA (tRNA) molecules are approximately 80 nucleotides in length. Lineage: Eukaryota; Metazoa; Chordata; Mammalia; Rodentia; Cricetidae. The record is from RNAcentral.